CUGGCUUCCCCCUUGACUUUGCUGGUCAGAAGGUCACCAAAGGUGAUCAUAUGAUCCAGGGACCCUGCAAUUGUCGUAAGUACGAACCAGUUGCCAAGCACCCAUAUUUUGAUCAGGGGAUCAUUGGGACGCUGAUACGGUCAUAAGUGUGGG
Molecule: non-coding RNA, 153 nt
Organism: Notechis scutatus (mainland tiger snake)
Lineage: Eukaryota; Metazoa; Chordata; Lepidosauria; Squamata; Elapidae
Source: RefSeq, a predicted model, not a curated record